UACAGAGGGGGCAAGCGUUGUUCGGAAUUACUGGGCGUAAAGGGCGCGUAGGUGGCCUGCUAAGUCGAACGUGAAAUCCCUGGGCUCAACCCAGGAACUGCGUCCGAUACUGGUUGGCUUGAAUCCGGGAGAGGGAUGUGGAAUUCCAGGUGUAGCGGUGAAAUGCGCAGAUAUCGGGAGGAACACCAAUGGCGAAGGCAGCUCGCUGGGACGUUACUGACGCUGAGACGCGAAAGCGUGGGGAGCAAACAGG
This 253-nucleotide ribosomal RNA is filed under the name uncultured bacterium. RNAcentral describes it as "partial 16S ribosomal RNA". It matches the Rfam family "Bacterial small subunit ribosomal RNA", at positions 524 to 776 of the family's 1533-position model. The record is from RNAcentral.